AUUAUUGCCCGGAAGGCAAUUCCGUAUACUCGUAAAGCUUCGUAAAAGAUGUUCUGGAGAAGACAAGUUAGUUAGAUGAAGGCUAGGCGUUCUAGGACUCUCUAGCUAGCUAGUAUAGCUAUGUAGCUGGAUUGCUUGGCACCUAGGAAGGAUCUUCGAAGAAAUAAAGAGGCAAAGACUCCCGUCGCUCGAAUGGUGGUGGUAAGUGUCAGAGGCCUGAGAAACGCUUGUCUAUGGGCUAGAAUGUUGUUAUGGAGUGUUUAUGAGGAUAAGUGGCACGGGAUACGUACAUCUAAAGAAACAAGAGUGGAUCUACGCCAAGCUAGCUAGCUAGAUAGCUGCUCUUUCUAAUCUAUUUCUGUUGCUAAAUUAUGUUUGUUAAGAAGUGGAGCUAUAUUAUACCUGGCUCCUCUUGAUGAUUGUAAGUACUGGGCUGAUGAAAUAGUCCUUACAAGUUGUCCUCUUUUAUUUGUUAAAAAUAAUUAACAAUAAUAGGGAAAUUCCCAGGGAAUUUCCCCCUCACGUAGACAGUAAAUUUCAUUAUAAAAAAUGAACGUUCGGUGAGUUUCUUCAACGUCCGCGCUUGACCUGUUUAAAGCUUUGUAGAGACCCAAAUUUUUACAGGUAGGUAGAGGAAGGGUUGAAGUUAGCACCUGUGAAAAAAAAAUUUUUUGCCCAUGUUUUUUAUUUCUACUAAAUUGGCUUAUAGCUUAAUUUAAUUAGU
This is a long non-coding RNA of Halichondria panicea, 724 nucleotides long. RefSeq lists it as uncharacterized. The record is from RefSeq and is a predicted model, not a curated record. Lineage: Eukaryota; Metazoa; Porifera; Demospongiae; Suberitida; Halichondriidae. The transcript is spliced from 3 exons.